CCUACGGGCGGCAGCAGUGAGGAAUAUUGGUCAAUGGACGAGAGACUGAACCAGCCAAGCCGCGUGAAGGAUGACUGUCCUAUGGGUUGUAAACUUCUUUUAUAUGGGAAUAAAACAGGGUAUGCAUACCCUCUUGUAUGUACCAUAUGAAUAAGGAUCGGCUAACUCCGUGCCAGCAGCCGCGGUAAUACGGAGGAUACGAGCGUUAUCCGGAUUUAUUGGGUUUAAAGGGAGCGUAGGUGGACUGUUAAGUCAGUUGUGAAAGUUUGCGGCUCAACCGGUAAAUUGCAGUUGAACUUGGCAGUCUUGAGUUGGGGAGAGGUGGGCGGAAUUCGUGGUGUAGCGGUGAAAUGCGUAGAUAUCGCGAAGAACUCCGAUUGCGAAGGCAGCUCACUGGACUGCAACUGACGCUGAUGCGCGAAAGUGUGGGUAUCAAACAGGAUUAGAUACCCCUGUAGUC
RNAcentral lists this ribosomal RNA (460 nucleotides) under uncultured bacterium. Its description in RNAcentral is "partial 16S ribosomal RNA". It matches the Rfam family "Bacterial small subunit ribosomal RNA", at positions 338 to 795 of the family's 1533-position model. The record is from RNAcentral.